RNAcentral lists this unclassified non-coding RNA (269 nucleotides) under plant metagenome. RNAcentral's name for it is "partial contains small subunit ribosomal RNA, internal transcribed spacer 1, and 5.8S ribosomal RNA". The record is from RNAcentral.
UUUCCGUAGGUGAACCUGCGGAAGGAUCAUUAAUGAGUUGUCAUGGGGUUCGAUGCUGGCAGCCAAUUUUUGGAUGCAUGUGCUUGCCCUAACAAUCAUCUUCCAAACACCUGUGCACAUUUUUGAGGGAGUCUUGAGUUGGUUGCCGCUCUUGGGUGAUUUUCUCACAUUCCCUUAAAUCAUUAUACGCUAUUAACGAUGUUGAACGUGCUCUGUGCCGCAAGGCUAUUAAUAUAAUACAACUUUUAACAACGGAUCUCUUGGCUCUC